Molecule: ribosomal RNA, 1352 nt
Filed under: uncultured bacterium
Lineage: Bacteria
Description: bacterial SSU rRNA
Rfam family: Bacterial small subunit ribosomal RNA
Source: RNAcentral
GACGAACGCUGGCGGCGUGCUUAACACAUGCAAGUCGAACGGAAAGGCCUCUACGGAGGUACUCGAGUGGCGAACGGGUGAGUAACACGUGGGCAAUCUGCCCUGCACUUCGGGAUAAGCCUGGGAAACUGGGUCUAAUACCGGAUAGGACCUCAAGACGCAUGUCUUCUGGUGGAAAGCUUUUGCGGUGUGGGAUGGGCCCGCGGCCUAUCAGCUUGUUGGUGGGGUGACGGCCUACCAAGGCGACGACGGGUAGCCGGCCUGAGAGGGUGUCCGGCCACACUGGGACUGAGAUACGGCCCAGACUCCUACGGGAGGCAGCAGUGGGGAAUAUUGCACAAUGGGCGCAAGCCUGAUGCAGCGACGCCGCGUGGGGGAUGACGGCCUUCGGGUUGUAAACCUCUUUCACCAUCGACGAAGGUCCGGGUUUUCUCGGAUUGACGGUAGGUGGAGAAGAAGCACCGGCCAACUACGUGCCAGCAGCCGCGGUAAUACGUAGGGUGCGAGCGUUGUCCGGAAUUACUGGGCGUAAAGAGCUCGUAGGUGGUUUGUCGCGUUGUUCGUGAAAUCUCGCGACUUAACUGUGAGCGUGCGGGCGAUACGGGCAGACUAGAGUACUGCAGGGGAGACUGGAAUUCCUGGUGUAGCGGUGGAAUGCGCAGAUAUCAGGAGGAACACCGGUGGCGAAGGCGGGUCUCUGGGCAGUAACUGACGCUGAGGAGCGAAAGCGUGGGGAGCGAACAGGAUUAGAUACCCUGGUAGUCCACGCCGUAAACGGUGGGUACUAGGUGUGGGUUUCCUUCCUUGGGAUCCGUGCCGUAGCUAACGCAUUAAGUACCCCGCCUGGGGAGUACGGCCGCAAGGCUAAAACUCAAAGGAAUUGACGGGGGCCCGCACAAGCGGCGGAGCAUGUGGAUUAAUUCGAUGCAACGCGAGGAACCUUACCCGGGUUUGACAUGCACAGGACGCGUCUAGAGAUAGGCGUUCCCUUGUGGCCUGUGUGCAGGUGGUGCAUGGCUGUCGUCAGCUCGUGUCGUGAGAUGUUGGGUUAAGUCCCGCAACGAGCGCAACCCUUGUCUCAUGUUGCCAGCGGGUAAUGCCGGGGACUCGUGAGAGACUGCCGGGGUCAACUCGGAGGAAGGUGGGGAUGACGUCAAGUCAUCAUGCCCCUUAUGUCCAGGGCUUCACACAUGCUACAAUGGCCGGUACAAAGGGCUGCGAUGCCGUAAGGUUAAGCGAAUCCUUUUAAAGCCGGUCUCAGUUCGGAUUGGGGUCUGCAACUCGACCCCAUGAAGUCGGAGUCGCUAGUAAUCGCAGAUCAGCAACGCUGCGGUGAAUACGUUCCCGGGCCU